UGGUGCGGAGAGGGCCCACAGUG
RNAcentral lists this microRNA (23 nucleotides) under Macaca mulatta (Rhesus monkey). Its description in RNAcentral is "mml-miR-675-5p". Its record names the gene mml-miR-675-5p. Lineage: Eukaryota; Metazoa; Chordata; Mammalia; Primates; Cercopithecidae. The record is from miRBase by way of RNAcentral. RNAcentral also lists the same sequence under 5 other names.